RNAcentral lists this ribosomal RNA (173 nucleotides) under Alepocephalus longiceps. RNAcentral's name for it is "partial 12S rRNA". Lineage: Eukaryota; Metazoa; Chordata; Actinopteri; Alepocephaliformes; Alepocephalidae. The record is from RNAcentral.
CACCGCGGUUAUACGAGAGGCCCCAGUUGAUAAAUGCGGCGUAAAGAGUGGUUAGGGGACACACCCGACUAAAGCCGAAGACCCCCUAGGCCGUUAUACGCAUCUGGGGGCACGAAAACCAGUCACGAAAGUAGCUUUACUCAAACCCGCCCGACCCCACGACAGCUGAGAUA